UAGAAUAACAAGUUAAAGAGUAACAUAUAGGGAGUAUGGAAAAAGCCCAUCAUAAAAAUGAGGUUACUCAGACCAGUACGAGGAAGCAGUGUGAUUAUACACACUUAACACAGAAAGACAGAAACAAUAGGAUUACUCACACAAUCUCAAACUCUAAUGAGGCGCAUCAGUUACACUCCCACAGCAACCUGGAGAAAGAACAAGAAUCAAAUCUGCUGUUAUCCUAAUAAGGACUUGGCAGAAGGGUUGCAGUUGACAUGUCCUACUUACUUACCACAGGGCUGCUAGGGAGUGCAGGGUUGGGUUUCUCCUACCUAAUGGAGAGAGGAAGUGAAAAUACAUGCGGUGAUUCUCCUAGCCACCUUCAGCUCCAGUAUCAUCCUUAACAUAACCGAUACAAAAAUGUGGGUAUGAAGUCAACAGAGGAAGCUCACAGGUGGAUACACUCAAUCUUUGAAGACCACAUCUCAUAUUUUAAAUUACUGGUGACACACUACCAACAAGCCAUUCAAAUAAAGACAGAAAACAUGAUCAGUCUCCCUAAAUGCACUUCCUCAACUGGACCUUUUAAAAAGAAAAAGUGCUGAAUUGACUUCAGGUCUUUGUGACUGUGAAGGCAAUAUCUGUAAAUGGUACAAAUGAAAGGAACCGUGCUGUCUGAAAUUACACAUCUGCAAAAUUUUGUAAGAUCUAUUUUUGUAAAUAGAUUUUGUACUACAUGGUAGAUAUCCCUCCUUUUUUUUCCCAUGACAUUGAGAAAGCAGCUGGGAACCUCCUAUACACAAUUAAUAUCUUUCAGUUACAGAGGUUUCAGCCAGAUGAAGUGUCCUCUUCUCUCCAUGCAGGAUGGAAGGAACCCCAGUGCAUCAGUAUAGGUUAGGGGCUGACCUGCUGGAGAGAAGCUCCGCAGAGAAGGACCCAGAUGUCCUAGUGGGCAACACGUUGGCCAUGAGCCAGCAGCAUGUCUUUGUGGACAAGAAGGCCAGUAGUAUCUUGGAGUGCAUUAAAAAGAGCUUGGCCAGCAGCUCAGGGAACGUUAUCCUCCCCCUCUACUCUGUCCUGGGGAGACCACAUUUAGACUGUUGUGUCCAGUUCUGGGCUCUCCAGUUCAAAAAAGACAAGAAUCUCCUAGAAGGAGUCCAGUAGAGGGCCAAAAACACAAUAUAAGGCCUGGAGCAUCUCCUGUAUGAAGAAAGACUGAGUAAUCUCAGUCUUUUCAGCCUGGGGAAAAGACAACCAAAGGGGAAUCUGAAUAAUGUUCUUAAAUAUCUAAAGAGAUGUGGGAGGCAAAUGGGACCAGGCUCUUCUCGGUGAUGUGUAAUGAUAAGACAAGGAGUAAUAGACUAAAACUUGAAUAUAGGAAGUUCCAUACUAACAUGCAGAAGAACUUCUUUACAGUAAGGGUGUGAUGGAGCACUGGAACAGGCUGCACAGGAUGGUUUGGAGUCGUCUUCUAUGGAGAUAUUCAAGAGCCGUCUGGAUGCCUACCUGAGUGACCUAUUGUAGGGAACCUGCUUUAGCAGGGGGUUGGACUCGAAGGUCUGUUGAGGUCCCCUGUGAUUCUGUAUAACACAAAAAGGAUUUGUCCUAGUUUUCUCAAGAGCUGAGCUUCCUUCUCAACAACUUCUACACUCUUGUUUGAGCUUUCAGAUGAGCAAGCACAGCACUGAAUACCUACUCAAACUCUCUCUCUCUCCAGAACAAGAAAUUAAGCAUGUUUUUAAAAGCUUUCCAAAAUUGAGGUGAUUUCUCACCUGAGAUAUACCUCACAGGAAACUCCAAGAUUUCAAAAUCUGUAAUCAUUGCUUCUAUGCGAGACUGAAAUACAUGAAAAUCAACAGUUUACUUCAGGUUUACAAAAAUGCUUCUCUGCAACUUCACAUCAUUUUAACAUUUAUGUACUAUUGUAAAAAAAAAAAUCUAAAAUACAAACAUUGAAAUAAAACAUACAAAGUGAACACAAUUUAUCUGAGUUAUAAUACUUGUACAUUAUAUACACUGUAAUACUAUACAUAAUAAUAAGCAUCAUUAAAUAUUUCACAGAAUAUUGUUGAAAUUGUGUUCUGUCAAAAUCAAUUUGUCAGAAUCAGAUCAUUCUAACUACGUUUUCAUUCAGCUCAAGACUUUGUGUGCUCUUCACAUCCAUUCCUUCUCAGCUGAAAAGUUUCCUAAUGCUUUCUCUGGCACCACAAUAACUUAUUUGUAGCAUUUCUAUUUAAAAUUUCCUUCCCUUAUAUUGAAGUCAGAUUUUUGUUGUUGUUAUUCCUUGCCAUUCAACACCAACAUCAUCAGAAGAAAGCUGUUUUUAUCUCCUCAAAACACUUCAGUAUGAGUAGUUUCAAGGAAAAUUAUGCAUAAGACCUCUCAGUUUGUGCCCCCAUCACCACUUGAGCUCUCCAAACAUAUAACUUGAGCACAGAGAUUGACCCAAACUUUUUGCAGCCUGUUGGUGUUUCUGGUUAUUCUCAUCCCUGAUGUUACAAUACACCCUGAAAAGCAGUGUUUAAUUGAUCAAACAAGAAAAACAAAUGCUUCCCCAAGGCAAAAAUUCCAUGAGCUUUUUGGAUGUUUUCUAUGAAAUUAACAAGCACUUCUGUCAGUACUUGGAAGUCUAACACCCUGUUUUUUUGAAUGGACUGAAGUAUAGAAGAGAAAGCUUGAACAGGAUUUUACAACAACUUCAACAUGCUUAAGGUCAAUUCAGACUAAAAUAAUACUUGUUUUAUGACAUUAUUCAUAAGAUAUUAAGUUUGUAAAACAGAUUUUAUUCUCAAAAUACAAUAAAUCCUGUUACAGAAGUAGUGCUAGGAAAACAGAAUGAGAAUAUUGUUAUAUGCUAAACUUACAGAAAAGAGUGACAGACCAUGCUAUUGUAAACAUUAUUUUUAAUGCAUUUAUGCUUAAUGUUCCUACAACCAAACUCCAUACACGUGGAAACAUUAAGAGCAGCUUAAGGACUUUUAGGGGCACAGUGCAGCUGCAGGGCUAUAAUCCACAGGUGAUCCAAGCACAGGAAAGGAAAAGGGCUCCUUUUGUAAUGCCAACAUCAAUUAAUGGCUUCAUGCUGAUAUAGUGUAGGGGAAUAUAAGACUAUUGAGAAUAAGAGUAAUACUUGUUUUCCCUGAUCAAAUGAAAAACACGAAACCUGAGAAAUAAAAUCAGAACAGCAACAACAAUAAAAAACCUCUUCAACUUUCCAAGGUUUUGCAAUGGUAAAACCACUGGCAAGCUGGAACUCAGAUCUCAAAGUCAUUGAACUCUGAGCACAGUGUAUUUUAGCACUAUCCUCAAGACAAAUGAAUUAAAAGACAUUCCAGUAUCUCACGCAUGAAUUUCCCAGAUUUCUCCUUGCUAUUCUCCCCUGGGGGGGGGAGCAUUCCAGGAAGAAUGUUGUUCUUUACAUAGAAACAUGAAACACUAAUCUUGGAAGGAAGAGACACCUGACUGAUACAGGUUUUGGUUACUCAAGAGCUGAUGUUUUUCCCAUCAUAUCUGCAUAAGUGCUUUGGCAUGCACAACUACCUGAAAGGCUAAACGCUUAAUACACAUGGUCAAAACAAAAGUUUGAGAUUUUAAUUUCAUGAUGUUACUAAAAAAACACCAAUAAUUUAGUUUCAAACUCAGAAAUUUAAAAGGAAAUUCAGAUCACAUUCAGAAAACAAAUAAGAAAUAGUAAUCUGUGUUUCCCAGUCUGCAUGACAUCAGGCACACUUAAUCCUAACAAACUAAGUUAUAUUGAACCCCUAUUUCCCUAGGGUAAUCCAAGCCUUUUGAGAAUGGCCUCAAGGUAACAAACUCCAGUACAAUCAAAGCACAAGUCUUUCAGCCCUUGCCUGUACAUAGCAUUUGUCUAAAUUGCAGGCCAAGAAAAUAACUUUACUUCUUGAUCUGCAGAUGAAUAUCUGUUGGAAAAUCUGAUAAGAGAGAUGAAUUUUCAUUCUAGAGAUACUACUGAGAGUGUUUCUUUAGAAGAUGAUCAACUUAGUGAAGAUUCCCUUAGAAUACCUAGGCUUAAACCUACUGAAAUAAAAACUAUAUUAACUUACCUGAAUACACUGUGAAUUUCUCAAAUACACCUAAGUAACCCAGGUUUUUUCAUUACUGCUCUCAUUUUUGACAGAAACCUAGUGUAUGGUUAAUAAAUAUACAGAUGUUAUACAGUAUACAGAGAUGUUACGUUCGUAAGAUUAGCGCAUCAGAAAAGUUAAUCAGAUAUAAAUGAAAGGUGCUCACCGGUGUUGUAGGCUCACAAAAACUCCACAAGGAGCAAUCUCCAGAAAGAGAUCCCUUCUCAGUGGCAGUCAGCCCUCAAAUGGGGUCUAGGAGAGGUGCAGCCAGGCUCCACCCCUUCCAGUCACACAGGUGAAUUGCCUUCACCUGUGCUCCCGCAGCUGACUCAGUGCUUGCUUCAGGUGAUCAAUCAGAUGUUCAGGCCAUGACUCAACAGUUCCCAUACACUUAAAAAAAUCUGCUCCUCUGGGUUUUGGUUUUGAACAAAAAUAAAAUUUUAAAUCAAGUUUUGCCUUCAACCUUAUUCACAUGUAGCAGAGACUGUGCUUUUACAGGGGUUCACUUGAAGGAGCAAAUGCUUUUCAGAAAUCUGAACAGAAUUCAGCAGGAGAAAGUAAACUCACAUUAAAGCCCAGAAUAUAUUCAUUCAUAACCCCUAACCAAUGAACUCAUCAUUAACACCCCAAAUAUACAAAAAAGCAACUCUGAAUGGUUGUUUCCUAUUAUUGGCCACUAACUACAAAUAAAUAACACUACCAAAUCUCUUUCUGAUUUUUCAUGAAUGAGUAGUAUGUCUAGAAAAGAUUUUUUAAUUUAAAUUUAAAUAAGGCUAAUCAUAGAACCACAGGAUCAUAUUAUUUACUACAAGUAUUCAAAAGUGCAAAGUGAUUUAUAAGCAUCCACAGAACCCUUAAAGUUUUGCAAUUUUAAUUCAAAUGACUGUGCAUCAGAAAAGUCAGAGCCAAAAGUGUUUUGCUUGUAAUUUUCCUGUUUUAAAAGUAUGAGACUAUAUGAAGACAAUUCCAUGCAAUCUACAUGAACAAUCACAUAAUUUGAAUCAGCACAGGUAAGCAAACAAAUGAAAAACAGAAAGUAAGAGCUAAUAAUUUAAAACAAAUGUAAUAAUGAUAGAAUAAUUAACCCAAAUUAAUACCUACAAUGCCAAUAAUAAGAGAAUCUUCAGUUCUCCAUGUAAUAGAUUGUAAAUUCUGGUUUUGCUUAGUAAUGGGCUUAUCCCAUGUAAUUUGUAGUGUUUAAAAUAUGAGUAUUCUUGGCUUCAGAGUUUUUUCAUACAGAAACAAAAAAAGAUUUGCAAAAUUCACAUUCUGAUCCAAACUUGAAUUCAGAUCAUAACCUACAAAGCCUGUACGUAUUCAGAUCUACAGUUCAGCUUUUUGGCUGCAACGUAUAUGCAAUCAGAAAAUAACUAAGUAAAAAGAUGUUCUCUAAACUAGCUGCAUGAGGUUUCCCAACAUAGUUUUCUGGCUUUUAAAGGCAAAUCUACUUCAUCAAUAUAGCAAAUCUCUUUGAAAAUGUUUUGAAAGAAAAAAAGAGUGUUGCUGUAUCAUGGGCAGGAUGUUGGACAUAUUUUAGUGGUGGCAGUGGUAAACAUCUCUCACCAGAUCUAUUUAGUAGUUAUGCUUAGAUAGCAAUAAAAAUGAAGGAUGGAUGAUUAUUGAUUAUGGGACAAAGCCCAGACUGGUGUCUGAAUCGUUUAGUAAUCCGAACUAUGUAGACUAUUGGACGCUCAUCUGUGGUACACAGUACAGGCUAUGAGUUUAAUGGACGAAGUUAUUACAAACAAUGUCUCUUCUGCUUUAUCUCAGCUGAACAAAUGCAGCCACCACAGUAAAUCAGUGUUAGGUCCAAAGUGAAACUGCUGCUACAAUCAGCAACAGUAAGUACUACAAAUUAAUUGAGUUAUCUUUGAAAGAGGUUUUAGUUUUCACAGUUCCAGCUUAUUUAGCAUUGGCAAUAAAAUUUGGCACAGAAAAAAAAUUUACAUUCACUUCCAUAUCUUAUUUUAGUAGAAAACAAUUAUCAUUGAAUCUACCUUCCAUUCUUUCCCAAAUGUUCUCUGUAUUGUUUUCCCUUGCAUCAAGGAAGACUGUAGUCUUGCUGUCAUCAGAAUCAACUCACUACGUAUAUUUGAGAAGCACCUUAGUUUUGCAAUGUCAUUCACUAUACAAAUUGAUUCCAAAGUGUCUAUUUGUUUACAUAACUAAAAACCGCCUGUACCAGUUGACACAAAGGAUUUCUUGGAUUUGUGCCCAAAUUUUGACCAUAGUCUCCUCUACAAAUUUGCAAUUCCACUCACACUACAGGAGAUGUAGAAAGAGAAACAGAUACUCCUCCAGCUUUGUAGAAACCUUACUACAUCUUUUAAAUAACACCUGUUUGUUUUCACACAACUUAAGCUAUAUACUGGUCAGAGUGUAGCCCACAAAAAUUAUCAUGGAUGGAAGAACAGUCUUAGUGUUAUCAUCUCUGAACCCUGAAGUGUCUGGAAAAAUUCUUCUUUAUCUCUUACAUUUUUACCUGAACAUUAAUUACAUGGAGGAGCUUUCAAAGGCUCAGCAAAAGAACUUGUUUAUCAACGACGCAGACUUCUUAGGCUCAUGGAGAAAGAGGUAUUUAGUUAACUACAGCAUUAUGAAUAAACAUUCAGAAGAUGAAAGCAUAAGUGCAGUCCCCAUGUAAUAGCGCUACUGGCUUAAGACUGGAUAUUCAUCCGAAGCAUUUUACUUGUUAAGGGACAAAAUCUUUGGGAAAUGAUGUCUAAAAACACUCUUCAGUUUCAUCCAGCAGCAACACAGAGAUAAAUAAUGUGCUUCUGAGUCAUAAAACAUGAAGCCGAACACCAUAGCUGGCUGCAGGUUCCUUUCUCCACUCAUGCCUUAAUUGUGCAAUCGAUAAUAAAGCAUUUACAUCAAUAAUUUCCAAGUUGUUAGCUCCAAGUCAACAAUAACAGAGGAAGCUUUGCCAGUUCUGCAGUGCUGGGGCUGUGUUUUCAUAAUGCUUGUGUUAUGCCUUGAGCGCAUCAAUCUAUAGAUCAGCACAUCUGAAGAGAAAAUCCACAGGAUUUUCCCAUGAAACUAUAUUUUGUUCCAACUCCUUUGGACACAGUCUGCUUUCUCUUGAACUUGCUCAAGGAAAAAAAAAAUCUCCAAACCUCAGAAAAGUAUUUUAAUCUAUAAAUAAUUCAGACAGAGCAGGGGUCUCUGUGUUUUUCCAGCACAGCUCUCUUGCUUUUCCCAUUCCUAAAACCGUUUCCAAAUACAAAGCAUUGAAACAGUUCACAAAUAUAUGCCAUUGUGAAGGGGUGAAGGUGAGUCUGUAUAAAGAGAGCCAGGCGAGGAGAGAGUAAAGCAAAGGACCAGGAAGUUGGUCCCUACCUCAGCAGCAUCCCUUGGCUGGCUUCAGACAGCCUCUGCACCAGCCCUGAGCAGAGAGAGGAGCUCUUCUAUCAAGUACAACAUGAUUCAGACAGCUGCUGCUGCUGCUUGAAAUCGUUUUGUUUACAGCAAUGGGAAGGGAAUUGCUAGAGCAAUUAAAAUAAUUUGUUGUUUCAUAAUACAAGCCAUACUAAGAAUGACUGUUAGCUGCAUUUCAGUCUCAGGUACUUGAAAACAAACAAACAAUCAAUCAGAAAAAGUGGCUUCUAAUUUCACAGAGGAUUUUUAGUAAAAAAAAAAGAAAAAGAAAAAGAAAAAGAAACAAAACAACAAAAUAUUUAAUGCUUUUCAAUCUCAGGUGCUGCUGUGCCUGGCAGACACCUGGUUCUCAUUCUUGUUAGGAAGGAGCAGCCCCUUGCCAGGCCAAAUGGGGGCUGCAGGUGGACCUGUACCGCCCACCUGAGGUUUCACUCCUUGUUGAAGGCUGUGAAGCCACAGGGAGCACAUAUAUACCUAAAGAAUGAGAGAAGAGGUGAAAUAUGAACCUGUCAUCUACUCAUCCUUACCAAGGCAGCUUCUUGGCAGUGCGCUUUCAGAUCUGUGGUAGGACACUGAAGAGACAUGUUCCAGCAGUCUGACAUCUAUUUAAUGGUUUCUCCACAGGCUUCACGAGUCAACACCAGGUUUGCAACAAUGAUAGCCAGCAUAGCUGAAGGAGUGAGCUCAGGGCUCUGCUCAGUCUUGUGACUCAUUAAGUGGUCCAUCAGCUGGGCUUCACAGGGUCACGUUUGCUGCCGACCCAAUGAAGGGCAUUCAAGGCACUGCCAUCACAUGUAGUACCUGAGGGCAUGGUAUGAUCCAGAGGAGGUGGUGGAGUGGGUACAGCUCCUGCUGGCAGGGGUUGAAGAGGGACAGAAGAGAGCUGAGCAACGUCCGAAUCACAUCACAGGACACGAGACAGUGUGAUCUCACCAGGCAUGUGAUCCCUUUCCUCCAUGGGAGAGGGAAGUAGACCAUGGACGUCAAGACCAGAUGUCAACCCCUGUUCUAAUUUAACCAAUCUUUAUGGCUUGCGAUGAUGGACAGGAUGCAAAAAUCUCAACUUCCCUUGGAGGCGAUGAUAAAAUUGAAAAGGCUGACAAGCAGUCACACUGAAUCUUAAAUGGGAAACCAAGGCUCUUUAUACAGAAACCAUUGGAGUCAUAAACAUGAAACUCUGCACUACUGUUUUUACAGUUUUUAAAUAUAAAGGAGCAUUUUAUGGCUGCUGGACUUCAAUCUGAACAGUUCAUACCCAGAAAGGAAAAAAGUGUUCUGAACGUGGUCUGUAAACACUGCAGAUGGCAGAGGGUUUUUUAAACUAAUGGGAAAGGGUAGAGUAAGAUCCAACAUCUGGUAACUAUGCUAACUACAUGCAAGAGAAAAGGUAUGCAUUCCUAGCAGUAAGGAUAUCUAACCAAAUUACUUAAGGGUGCGCUGGAUUCUUUCUCAGGCAAAGCCUUGAAACUGAACCUGCACACCCUACUAACAUAAGUCAGAGGCUCAACGUAGAAGCCAGCUGAUAAAAAUCAAUGGCUUUUUUCAGACAAGACGUUCAAAAAUAGUUCUUUCUGGGAUUAAAACUAUAUGCUGAGCAUUCAAUUCAAGUGGUAUAAAGGGAGAAGUAUUUAAUUUGGAAAUUCUUCAAUGAAAUGUCUCUCUUACUCUCUCUCUUUCAAAACAUGCCUGUUCAUGAAGAAACUUGAUACGGCCUUAGUGUUUGUACAAAUAUUUAGUAUUCACAAAGUGCAAUUCCUAUUCUUAUGUCCUCCCUAACAGUUAGAAGUUGUUAAGGCUCCAAACUUUUAACAGAAUAAUCAAGUCAGAAUGAACAAAUUAGAAAGAUUUAUCAGACAAGAGUUGUGAAAACUUCUGAUGCUGCUCAAAAAAUAGCUCAGGUCCAUAAUGAGGUGUUCAUUCUGCCUGUCAUCUCACAAGUAAGCUCACCGACUUCUGAGGUCAUGCGCAAGUACUUCUGGUAUGAAUCUCAGGCUCUCAUAAAUGAAUUCCUCAAUUCUCAUAGAAACAUUAUUCCCAAGAUAUUUGAAACUCUUAGGAGUGUUCUGGUAAGUCCUGAAAUCAAAACUGUUUUUAUACUAUGCCAUUAGAAAUAAUCACAUUUUUUUAGUGUCAGAAAUGCAGUGCAGAUUAUAACAUAUGACUUAGUUUUUCUCCAAGUUGCUACAACUGCAUGUGCCUCCAUAACAAGCAACACAAUGCCCUUUUCAAUAUUUUAG
Molecule: long non-coding RNA, 9682 nt
Filed under: Gallus gallus (chicken)
Lineage: Eukaryota; Metazoa; Chordata; Aves; Galliformes; Phasianidae
Description: lncRNA (ENSGALG00010014106.1)
Source: RNAcentral